This 72-nucleotide transfer RNA is filed under the name Stegodyphus mimosarum. It matches the Rfam family "tRNA". From Rfam's summary of the family: Transfer RNA (tRNA) molecules are approximately 80 nucleotides in length. Their secondary structure includes four short double-helical elements and three loops (D, anti-codon, and T loops). Further hydrogen bonds mediate the characteristic L-shaped molecular structure. tRNAs have two regions of fundamental functional importance: the anti-codon, which is responsible for specific mRNA codon recognition, and the 3' end, to which the tRNAs corresponding amino acid is attached (by aminoacyl-tRNA synthetases). tRNAs cope with the degeneracy of the genetic code in two manners: having more than one tRNA (with a specific anti-codon) for a particular amino acid; and 'wobble' base-pairing, i.e. permitting non-standard base-pairing at the 3rd anti-codon position. The record is from Rfam by way of RNAcentral. Lineage: Eukaryota; Metazoa; Arthropoda; Arachnida; Araneae; Eresidae.
GCCUUCGUGGUGUAAAGGUCAACACACUCGACGCGUACUUGAGAGGUCCAGGUUCGAGUCCCGGUGAGGACA